CACAAGGGGUGAAGCCUGCGGUUCAANNNNGAGUCAACGCCGGAAAUCUUACCGGGGGCGACAGCAGAGUGAAGGUCAAGCUGAAGACUUUACCAGACAAGCUGAGAGGAGGUGCAUGGCCGUCGCCAGCUCGUGCCGUGAGGUGUCCUGUUAAGUCAGGUAACGAGCGAGAUCCCUAUCUCUAGUUGCUACUGCUGCUCUCAGGAGUAGUAGAGCUAAUUAGAGGGACCGCCGCCGCUGAGGCGGAGGAAGGAGGGGGCUACGGYAGGUCAGUAUGCCCCCGAAACCCYUCGGGCCCACACGCGGGCUGCAUUGGGUAAGGGACAAUGGGUUCCCUAUU
RNAcentral lists this ribosomal RNA (340 nucleotides) under uncultured archaeon. RNAcentral describes it as "bacterial SSU rRNA". It matches the Rfam family "Archaeal small subunit ribosomal RNA", at positions 880 to 1210 of the family's 1478-position model. The record is from RNAcentral.